This 505-nucleotide ribosomal RNA is filed under the name uncultured bacterium. Its description in RNAcentral is "partial 16S ribosomal RNA". It matches the Rfam family "Bacterial small subunit ribosomal RNA", at positions 28 to 507 of the family's 1533-position model. The record is from RNAcentral.
GACGAACGCUGGCGGCGUGCCUAAUACAUGCAAGUAGAACGCACAGUUUAUACCGUAGCUUGCUACACCAUAAACUGUGAGUUGCGAGCGGGUGAGUAACGCGUAGGUAACCUGCCUGGUAGCGGGGGAUAACUAUUGGAAACGAUAGCUAAUACCGCAUAUUAUUGAUUAUUGCAUGAUAAUUGAUUGAAAGAUGCUAUUGCAUCACUACCAGAUGGACCUGCGUUGUAUUAGCUAGUAGGUGAGGUAACGGCUCAACUAGGCGACGAUACAUAGCCGACCUGGAAGGGUGAUCGGCCACAAUGGGACUGAGAAACGGCCCAGAAUCCUACGGGAGGCAGCAGUAGGGAAUCUUCGGCAAUAGACGAAAGUCUGACCGAGCAACGCCGCGUGAGUGAAGAAGGUUUUCGGAUCGUAAAGCUCUGUUGUAAGAGAAGAAAGGGUGUGAGAGUGAAAAGUUCACACUGUGACGGUAUCUAAACAGAAAGGGACGGCUAACUACGUG